AUUGAACGCUGGCGGCAGGCCUAACACAUGCAAGUCGUGCGAGCGGCGGACGGGUGAGUAAAGUAUGGGGACUGCCUGAUGGAGGGGGAUAACAACUGGAAACGGUAGCUAUUACCGCAUACCAUCAACUAACCAAUAUGUGAUUAGCUAGUAGGUGAGGUAACGGCUAACCUAGGCGGCGAUCCCUAGCUGGUCUGAGAGGCGGAUCAGCCACACUGGGACUGAGACACGGCCCAGACGCCUACGGAGGCAGCAGUGGGGAAUAUUGCACACUGGGGUCAAGCCGGAGGCAGCCAGGCCGCGUGUAUGAAGAAGUCCUUCGGGUUGUAAAGUACUUUCAGUCGGUAGGCGUUACCGACAGAAGAAGCACCGGCUAACUACGUGCCAGCAGCCGCGGUAAUAC
Molecule: ribosomal RNA, 403 nt
Filed under: uncultured bacterium
Lineage: Bacteria
Description: partial 16S ribosomal RNA
Rfam family: Bacterial small subunit ribosomal RNA
Source: RNAcentral